RNAcentral lists this transfer RNA (77 nucleotides) under Helicobacter sp. MIT 14-3879. RNAcentral's name for it is "tRNA-Arg". It matches the Rfam family "tRNA". Rfam says of the family: Transfer RNA (tRNA) molecules are approximately 80 nucleotides in length. Lineage: Bacteria; Pseudomonadati; Campylobacterota; Epsilonproteobacteria; Campylobacterales; Helicobacteraceae. The record is from RNAcentral.
GCGCUCGUAGCUCAGCUGGAUAGAGCAACAGCCUUCUAAGCCGUAGGUCGCAGGUUCGAAUCCUGCCGAGCGUACCA